Molecule: small RNA, 107 nt
Filed under: Arabidopsis thaliana (thale cress)
Lineage: Eukaryota; Viridiplantae; Streptophyta; Magnoliopsida; Brassicales; Brassicaceae
Description: ATSL101820
Source: RNAcentral
AUAUUUAAUAAACUUAGGCCAUCUACAUCGUUGAUUCUCAAAAAGAGUUUCUCAUGAAUAAAAUUUUAUUUAUUUUAAUCAAAUUCAGAUAAAGUAUUAAAUUUUAA